AGUAAUGCAUCGGAACGUACCCCGUAGCGGGGAUAACCCGGCGAAAGCCGGGCUAAUACCGCAUAUGCUCUACGGAGGAAAGUGGGGGAACCGCAAGGACCUCACACUAUGGGAGCGGCCGAUGCCCGAUUAGCUUGUUGGUGGGGUAAUGGCUUACCAAGGCGACGAUCGGUAGCUGGUCUGAGAGGAUGAUCAGCCACACUGGGACUGAGACACGGCCCAG
Molecule: ribosomal RNA, 223 nt
Filed under: uncultured bacterium
Lineage: Bacteria
Description: partial 16S ribosomal RNA
Rfam family: Bacterial small subunit ribosomal RNA
Source: RNAcentral